This 207-nucleotide ribosomal RNA is filed under the name uncultured bacterium. RNAcentral's name for it is "partial 16S ribosomal RNA". It matches the Rfam family "Bacterial small subunit ribosomal RNA", at positions 568 to 774 of the family's 1533-position model. The record is from RNAcentral.
UCCGUAGGCGGGCGAUUAAGUCAGAGGUGAAAUCCCACAGCUCAACUGUGGAACUGCCUUUGAUACUGGUUGUCUUGAGUUACAGUGAAGUAGAUAGAAUAUGUAGUGUAGCGGUGAAAUGCAUAGAUAUUACAUAGAAUACCGAUUGCGAAGGCAGUCUACUAACUGUUGACUGACGCUAAGGGACGAAAGCGUGGGGAGCGAACA